Molecule: ribosomal RNA, 538 nt
Filed under: Curvularia lunata
Lineage: Eukaryota; Fungi; Ascomycota; Dothideomycetes; Pleosporales; Pleosporaceae
Description: eukaryotic LSU rRNA
Rfam family: 5.8S ribosomal RNA (bases 172-325)
Source: RNAcentral
GAUCGGGAAAAAGUACAGUAUGAAGGCUGUCCGCAGCUGGAGUAUUUUAUUACCCUUGUCUUUUGCGCACUUGUUGUUUCCUGGGCGGGUUCGCUCGCCACCAGGACCACCAAAUAAACCUUUUUUAUGCAGUUGCAAUCAGCGUCAGUACAAACAAUGUAAAUCAUUUACAACUUUCAACAACGGAUCUCUUGGUUCUGGCAUCGAUGAAGAACGCAGCGAAAUGCGAUACGUAGUGUGAAUUGCAGAAUUCAGUGAAUCAUCGAAUCUUUGAACGCACAUUGCGCCCUUUGGUAUUCCAAAGGGCAUGCCUGUUCGAGCGUCAUUUGUACCCUCAAGCUUUGCUUGGUGUUGGGCGUUUUUGUCUUUGGUCGCCCAAAGACUCGCCUUAAAGUGAUUGGCAGCCGGCCUUUCUGGUUUCGCAGCGCAGCACAUUUUUGCGCUUGCCAUCAGCAAAACGGCAAUCCAUCAAGCCUCCUUCUCACGUUUUGACCUCGGAUCAGGUAGGGAUACCCGCUGAACUUAAGCAUAUCAAUAA